This 462-nucleotide long non-coding RNA is filed under the name Oryza brachyantha (malo sina). Its description in RNAcentral is "long non-coding RNA (OBRA_LNC000840)". The record is from RNAcentral. Lineage: Eukaryota; Viridiplantae; Streptophyta; Magnoliopsida; Poales; Poaceae.
UUGGAAUGGAAGAAGAAUACAUUUUGAACAAAAUCACAUGGCAGGCCCCUACGAAGAACAUAUAUUCUGAAAGUGCUUAACACAUAAGGUUGAACACAUAAAACUAUACCAAUAAAAAGUGACAAGGAUUAAAUCGAACUGGGAAGCACAAAACUGGGGAGCAAAUUCAUGUUGAGGCAAUUCAAUUUCAAACAUACGGAGUACUACACCAGAUUCACAAAUUCAGACAAGCUGCUUACUGGUGGUAAGUUUUUAUUCACUAUCACUGGAUCGACUGGAGUGUGAUGGAGAGACGGGAUGUUGUGCUUGUGGUUGCUCUUCCUCCAGAAUGUUCACCACGGCAUGGGCCACCUCAACGCCGCCGCACCCGACGGCGUUCACCACCCGGCCCCGUCCGCCGGUCACGGCCCCGCACCGGCUGACGUCCACCGCCCUGCACAUCUCGACCACCACGCUGCCGNN